Molecule: long non-coding RNA, 1089 nt
Organism: Brassica oleracea var. oleracea
Lineage: Eukaryota; Viridiplantae; Streptophyta; Magnoliopsida; Brassicales; Brassicaceae
Exons: 6
Source: RefSeq, a predicted model, not a curated record
GGAUAAAUCGGCCCGUUCUUCUUCCACUUCGUCGAGUAAGCCACCACUCCCCGGCGGAUCAUUUUCUUAAGCGAUCUUUUCGACUCCUCCAUGUUCUCUAACGACUAGCGAUUCUUCUUGCCCGGGUAUAUCCUCCAUAGAAGCAUCGCGUCAACGCCGUCUCUUUCAAGUUCUUUCAAUACUCCCAACAGUUGGUCGUCUUCUAUUCAGUUUAUCUAUUCAAUUUCAGCCAGAUACGGUUGUAGCGAAGGAAGGUUAAUUUUCUGAGGCAAGAAGAGGCUCUAACGCUGCCGUGGAAGAGAAAAAAAAAGAUUUCUUCUGGUUCAGACCACCAUGCAAGUGGUUGUUCUUAAAGUGUCUCUUCACUGUCGCUGCAGAGGCUGUGAAGGCAAAGUGAAGAAACGUCUAUCUAGAAUGCAAGGGAGCUGGUGGACCAGAGGAGGAAGAUAAUUGAUGGCCGCCAUGCCUAAAACCUCUGCUUAAAGAGCAGUUCUUUGUUCACUGCAAGGUUCAUGUAGACUUUCACAAGGGUGAUUGCAAUCUUAGACUGCACCAACGGUGAGCUUUGCUCUCUUUGUCUUGCCCAUCACAAAGACCACCUCACCAUCCAAUCCAAAUGGGUUGAUCUUUAGGUCUAUAUAGGUCUAUAUAUCAAUAGCCUGCCACAAUGCUUGGAUCCAUAGCUAUUCCUUGCAGCACAAGGUGUAGGUUGUUUAUGUGAUCUAUGGAGCAUUAUGUGUUGCAGAGAGAGAGAGAGAGAGUUCCUGCUCAGAAAGGUGGAACUGCAGAAGCGCAAUGAGAUUGAGAAAAGAGCAGCAGCUGAUGUGGCUUCAGCCUUGGAAUCUUACGAAGCAGACAAUGGAGAUGGCUACAAUGCUCAUUACCUCAUGAAGAGCACAAUCAUGAGCGGUUGUAAAUGCAUCGAUGUCCAAUCUAAAACCGUCAAAUAAAAGCAUAGGGUCUUGAAAGGAACAUGAAAACGUAGCUUACUUAUUGUUGUUAUGUACUUUUUGUUUUCAAGGCACCAUUGCUCAGCAGAAGAAAACGAUCGUUAACAGAGUUUACUGAUAAGAAUUUAUAAGGCUCUAA